UGGAGAAGAGGAUAGGGCUUGCAUCGGGAUUUUUCUUCUGUGUGCCUUGUUUUCCCCGAAGACUUCAACCCUUAUAUUACCGCACUGCACAGCCGGCUCGGAGCAUCGUCCAAUGCCGCCGACAGGAGCGAGCAGCAGAGAUCCUCAAAAACUUUAAACUGAAAAACUCAGGAGGAAAGAUGGAAGUAACUUGUAUAAUCCUCAUACAGAAUACAAAUAGAGGGACAUGAAUGAGGAUGGAGCAACAGAAAAGAUGGAUAAAUUAUGAAUACAUGGAUUAUAUGUACAACAACUUGUAACUGUACAGAUCUACCUUCUUCCUAUAGAGCUUCAAUCAGUAAGAGUUACAAGACAUCUGCUAAAGUAUGUGGAACCAGACAUUAUGGAAGAACAAGAACAUGGAGGUACCGGAGUUGUAAGUGAAAUAUACUGGAAGUGAAGAAUACAGUUCAAGAAAGACAAAAAAAGGAUGGUGAAACAAUUUCAUGUUAGUUCACUGAAAACUGUUAAGGAGUAAAGACCGUUAAGCAAUAAUGCAAUAAAGAAGUUAAAUUUAA
This is a long non-coding RNA of Pogoniulus pusillus (Red-fronted tinkerbird), 557 nucleotides long. RefSeq lists it as uncharacterized. The record is from RefSeq and is a predicted model, not a curated record. Lineage: Eukaryota; Metazoa; Chordata; Aves; Piciformes; Lybiidae. The transcript has 2 exons.